UGUGUUCGCAGUCCCCCGACUCCAGCUCUGUUUCCCCCUCCCCCAAGCACUGAUCUGGGCCCCAGUCCGGCAGGAAGCCGGACGGGUGCAGCAGAGCAGGGGAAGGAUCACGACCCCCCGCCCUCAUCCGCUCCCCCUCCCCUUACCUUGUUGCGACGCAGCAGCAACAGCUCUAGAAAACCUCUGAAUGAUGCCGAGGACAAGCAGCGCGAUCCGGAUAUGAUGAUACCAUGUGGUCACCAGCCUUUCCUCCCCUCUGGCAGGGCUCCUAACAUAGCCAACAAGAAACUCAACCGAUGUAGAUUUCCUGUCAGCAUGGAGGGAUGGAGCCAUUCAGGAGCAGUGAUUCUAAAGUACCUGCUUACUUUUGAACUCUGCCACAAUGGGCAGAAAGUAUUAUCAAAAGAAAAAAAUAAACAAAUUGUAUCAAUAUUGCAACACCA
Hemicordylus capensis (graceful crag lizard) is the source of this 443-nucleotide long non-coding RNA. RefSeq lists it as uncharacterized. The transcript is spliced from 3 exons. NCBI's taxonomy places the organism in Eukaryota, Metazoa, Chordata, Lepidosauria, Squamata, Cordylidae. The record is from RefSeq and is a predicted model, not a curated record.